RNAcentral lists this ribosomal RNA (253 nucleotides) under uncultured bacterium. RNAcentral describes it as "partial 16S ribosomal RNA". It matches the Rfam family "Bacterial small subunit ribosomal RNA", at positions 524 to 776 of the family's 1533-position model. The record is from RNAcentral.
GACGUAGGGCGCGAGCGUUGUCCGGAUUUAUUGGGCGUAAAGAGCUCGUAGGCGGUUUGUCGCGUCGUCUGUGAAAACCCACGGCUCAACUGUGGGCUUGCAGUCGAUACGGGCAGGCUAGAGUUCGGUAGGGGAGACUGGAAUUCCUGGUGUAGCGGUGAAAUGCGCAGAUAUCAGGAGGAACACCGGUGGCGAAGGCGGGUCUCUGGGCCGUAACUGACGCUGAGGCGCGAAAGCGUGGGGAGCGAACAGG